UAACCUUGCCUCACAAGGGGUGUACGUC
This 28-nucleotide non-coding RNA is filed under the name Rattus norvegicus (Norway rat). The record is from RNAcentral. Lineage: Eukaryota; Metazoa; Chordata; Mammalia; Rodentia; Muridae.